RNAcentral lists this unclassified non-coding RNA (182 nucleotides) under soil metagenome. RNAcentral describes it as "partial contains 5.8S ribosomal RNA, internal transcribed spacer 2, and large subunit ribosomal RNA". The record is from RNAcentral.
AACCAUUCUCACCUGCGGCUAGACCUGCGGAGGGAUCACUGCUAGAAUGUGGAAUUGGUGGGUGGGGGGUGGAAUGGAUCGGUGGAUUCAUCUCAUUCUCUCCCUCAUUACCAUUACCAUUAACACGCUUGCUUGUUUGACUGUAACCUAUAAUCACCUAUACAACUUUCAGCAAUGGAUCU